AGCCGGAAAAUCUACAGAAAACAUGGCUGAGGGAGUUUUACCAGACAAUACAGACACACAAGCCUCACUUCUUUGCAUUGCACUGUCAGGAGGUGGGGGGGAAGAACUAUGAGGCGUCCAUGUCCCACGUGGAUAGUUUUGUCAAAGAGCUGUUGUCCAGUGAUGUGAUGAAGGAGUACAACAGAGCCCGCGUCUACCUCGAUGAGAACUACAAAUCCCAGGAGCAUU
Long non-coding RNA from Notothenia coriiceps (black rockcod), 228 nucleotides. RefSeq lists it as uncharacterized. The transcript is spliced from 3 exons. Lineage: Eukaryota; Metazoa; Chordata; Actinopteri; Perciformes; Nototheniidae. The record is from RefSeq and is a predicted model, not a curated record.